UACGGAGGGUGCAAGCGUUAUCCGGAUUCACUGGGUUUAAAGGGUGCGUAGGCGGACAGGUAAGUCAGUGGUGAAAUCUCUGGGCUUAACCCAGAAACUGCCGUUGAUACUAUUUGUCUUGAAUAUCCUGGAGGUAGGCGGAAUAUGUCAUGUAGCGGUGAAAUGCUUAGAUAUGACAUAGAACACCGAUAGCGAAGGCAGCUUACUACAGGAUGAUUGACGCUGAGGCACGAAAGCGUCGGGAGCAAACAGC
Molecule: ribosomal RNA, 253 nt
Filed under: uncultured bacterium
Lineage: Bacteria
Description: partial 16S ribosomal RNA
Rfam family: Bacterial small subunit ribosomal RNA
Source: RNAcentral